GACGAACGCUGGCGGCGUGCCUAAUACAUGCAAGUYGAGCGGACAGAUGGGAGCUUGCUCCCUGAUGUYAGCGGCGGACGGGUGAGUAACACGUGGGUAACCUGCCUGUAAGACUGGGAUAACUCCGGGAAACCGGGGSUAAUACCGGAUGCUURAUUGAACCGCMUGGUUCAAUUAUAAAAGGUGGCUUUUAGCUACCACUUACAGAUGGACCCGCGGCGCAUUAGCUAGUUGGUGAGGUAACGGCUCACCAAGGCRACGAUGCGUAGCCGACCUGAGAGGGUGAUCGGCCACACUGGGACUGAGACACGGCCCAGACUCCUACGGGAGGCAGCAGUAGGGAAU
Molecule: ribosomal RNA, 345 nt
Filed under: Bacillus sp. R-30923
Lineage: Bacteria; Bacillati; Bacillota; Bacilli; Caryophanales; Bacillaceae
Description: bacterial SSU rRNA
Rfam family: Bacterial small subunit ribosomal RNA
Source: RNAcentral